GACGAACGCUGGCGGCGUGCCUAAUACAUGCAAGUAGAACGCUGAAGGAGGAGCUUGCUCUUCUGGAUGAGUUGCGAACGGGUGAGUAACGCGUAGGUAACCUGCCUGGUAGCGGGGGAUAACUAUUGGAAACGAUAGCUAAUACCGCAUAAGAGUAGAUGUUGCAUGACAUUUACUUAAAAGGUGCAAUUGCAUCACUACCAGAUGGACCUGCGUUGUAUUAGCUAGUUGGUGGGGUAACGGCUUACCAAGGCGACGAUACAUAGCCGACCUGAGAGGGUGAUCGGCCAAACUGGGAAUGAGACACGGCCCAGACUCCUACGGGAGGCAGCAGUAGGGAAUCUUCGGCAAUGGACGGAAGUCUGACCGAGCAACGCCGCGUGAGUGAAGAAGGUUUUCGGAUCGUAAAGCUCUGUUGUAAGAGAAGAACGAGUGUGAGAGUGGAAAGUUCACACUGUGACGGUAUCUGACCAGAAAGGGACGGCUAACUACGUG
RNAcentral lists this ribosomal RNA (495 nucleotides) under uncultured bacterium. Its description in RNAcentral is "partial 16S ribosomal RNA". It matches the Rfam family "Bacterial small subunit ribosomal RNA", at positions 28 to 507 of the family's 1533-position model. The record is from RNAcentral.